This 468-nucleotide ribosomal RNA is filed under the name uncultured bacterium. Its description in RNAcentral is "partial 16S ribosomal RNA". It matches the Rfam family "Bacterial small subunit ribosomal RNA", at positions 28 to 507 of the family's 1533-position model. The record is from RNAcentral.
GACGAACGCUGGCGGCGUGCUUAACACAUGCAAGUCGAACGGAAAGGCCCUGCUUUUGUGGGGUGCUCGAGUGGCGAACGGGUGAGUAACACGUGAGUAACCUGCCCUUGACUUUGGGAUAACUUCAGGAAACUGGGGCUAAUACCGGAUAGGAGCUCCUGCUGCAUGGUGGGGGUUGGAAAGUUUCGGCGGUUGGGGAUGGACUCGCGGCUUAUCAGCUUGUUGGUGGGGUAGUGGCUUACCAAGGCUUUGACGGGUAGCCGGCCUGAGAGGGUGACCGGCCACAUUGGGACUGAGAUACGGCCCAGACUCCAACCGGAGGCAGCAGUGGGGAAUAUUGCACAAUGGGCGGAAGCCUGAUGCAGAAACGCCGCGUGCGGGAUGACGGCCUUCGGGUUGUAAACCGCUUUCGACUGUGACGAAGCGUGAGUGACGGUAAUGGGUAAAGAAGCACCGGCUAACUACGUG